Molecule: ribosomal RNA, 1129 nt
Filed under: human gut metagenome
Description: bacterial SSU rRNA
Rfam family: Bacterial small subunit ribosomal RNA
Source: RNAcentral
ACGCCGCGUGAGUGAUGACGGCCUUCGGGUUGUAAAGCUCUGUUAAUCGGGACGAAAGGCCUUCUUGCGAAUAGUGAGAAGGAUUGACGGUACCGGAAAAGCAAGCCACGGCUAACUACGUGCCAGCAGCCGCGGUAAUACGUAGGUGGCAAGCGUUGUCCGGAAUUAUUGGGCGUAAAGCGCGCGCAGGCGGCUAGGUCCCAAGUCUGUCUUAAAAGUUCGGGGCUUAACCCCGUGAUGGGAUGGAAACUGCCAAUCUAGAGUAUCGGAGAGGAAAGUGGAAUUCCUAGUGUAGCGGUGAAAUGCGUAGAGAUUGGGAGGAACACCAGUGGCGAAGGCGACUUUCUGGACGAAAACUGACGCUGAGGCGCGAAAGCGUGGGGAGCAAACAGGAUUAGAUACCCUGGUAGUCCACGCCGUAAACGAUGGGUACUAGGUGUAGGAGGUAUCGACCCCUUCUGUGCCGGAGUUAACGCAAUAAGUACCCCGCCUGGGGAGUACGACCGCAAGGUUGAAACUCAAAGGAAUUGACGGGGGCCCGCACAAGCGGUGGAGUAUGUGGUUUAAUUCGACGCAACGCGAAGAACCUUACCAGGUCUUGACAUUGAUGGACAGAACCAGAGAUGGUUCCUCUUCUUCGGAAGCCAGAAAACAGGUGGUGCACGGUUGUCGUCAGCUCGUGUCGUGAGAUGUUGGGUUAAGUCCCGCAACGAGCGCAACCCCUAUCUUAUGUUGCCAGCACGUAAAGGUGGGAACUCAUGAGAGACUGCCGCAGACAAUGCGGAGGAAGGCGGGGAUGACGUCAAAUCAUCAUGCCCCUUAUGACCUGGGCUACACACGUACUACAAUGGGAGUUAAUAGACGGAAGCGAGAUCGCGAGAUGGAGCAAACCCGAGAAACACUCUCUCAGUUCGGAUCGUAGGCUGCAACUCGCCUACGUGAAGUCGGAAUCGCUAGUAAUCGCAGGUCAGCAUACUGCGGUGAAUACGUUCCCGGGCCUUGUACACACCGCCCGUCACACCACGAAAGUCGGAAGUGCCCAAAGCCGGUGGGGUAACCUUCGGGAGCCAGCCGUCUAAGGUAAAGUCGAUGAUUGGGGUGAAGUCGUAACAAGGUAGCCGUAUCGGAA